AGAGCAGCCAGACACUUCUAGACUCCGGAUGGAGUUCUGCACUUGUGAUGUUCUUGAGGACACUUCGGUGGAAAGGAAAGCACCACAACGCAGGGGUGCCCCUGGAAGUUCCUGGUCUGAAGAGCAGAUGGGAAUCUACUCCCUGGGGGCCAAGGCCUACACAGAAUGAUCUCCUCCUGCUCAACACACAGAGCCAUAAAACAGACCCAGGGUUCUGUGGCAGGCUGCACAGCCGGCAGGAAUCCAAUACUCCCGGCAUCUGGCUGAUAAGAGGACCCUGCGGACCCAGCACAUGCUAAGGGCCCAGGCCUGGAAGAUAAAGCACACCUACACCAAGGCUCACACUGCUUUAUGUUCACCUGCUCACACCUGGAUUUUUCUAGAGACUUCUCCAAGUAACAAGAGGGGGCAUAUUUGUGGGAAUUUCCUGUUUGGUCUGCUUGGGUUUCUCUCCAGGACCCCACGGCUGGCAGCCUGGCUGGCCCCAGGCCCCAGGGGUCUUUUUCACUCAAGGGUUUGGAGGGCAACCUUUCACUCAGGUUAGUCACUGUUUGCUCACUCUCCCAUCCCUCAAUCUGUGAUGCCCUUGCUGGCAGGCAGGGGACAUCUCUUCGUGGGCAUCCCCAGUAUCCUGCAGGAGCCAGGGACACUGGAGACACCAGCAAAGAAUGCUCUUCCUUAGCGACUCUUUCAGGUCUGCACUCCUUCCCUCAUCCACACUCUAUAGGAGCUGGCAUCAAAGGGGCCUGCAAUCUUGCUAAACCAGAGUCUUUUUUUGGUUACUCAAGAAUCGAGGUGUCCUUCACCCAAAAUGGAAAUGUUCCUAACCCUCCCUAUUGGGCAGGGCCCAGCAAAUGCUCCAUCUCUGGUGAGAAGGUCAUUAACUUGGCUCUUCCCUCCUCCUCUCUCCUGGAUUCCAUCCUCUUAAGAACUAAAAAUAAUGAAGGGCUAGAGGAGAGAGGCGAGAGAGGAAGAAGGCACAGGAAAUGCUGUGCUGAACAGAGGCCUCGCAGAGCUCACACCAGGGGCCUCGCAGAGCUCACACCAGGGGCCUCUCCAGGCCUCAAAGGCUGCUGGGCCCGGAGGCUAGGAGGGGACCAACAAUAGGAGGAAACAGGGAGUGGCCAAAGGGGCUGGGGAAGAGCACGAGGCGGAUGGGCAGCCUUUCGAGGCUGACUUCCUAAUGGAUAAAGCCCAGAGGACAGAAGGGCUCAGCCUUUCCUCUGGGAAAGGGCGCCUGGGCUCUGCCCAGCUGGUUAAGGGCCACCCCUGCAACACGCAGCAGAUCCUCUCCCGCCCUGCGCUCAUCCACUCCUCCCCAGAGAUUUUAUUUUUACUUUGGUAAAUGCAAAACAACAAGGCCAAGUUACAGAGGGUGGAAAUUUACCAAAGGCCUUCACUGAUCGGCAGACAAUUGGCACUGAAGUUCUGGAACCUCCGAGCACCCGCAGAGUCCAUCUUGGGCCGCUCUCUCAGAGGCGCCAGCCAGGGGACUCAGCCCCAUCUCCACCCCCAACACACCUUCUUGGGAACAGCUUCCUGGUCUGGGGAGCUAGAGUUGCUUAAUCCUUCCUUUAUAGCCCACAGAGAGGUAAGGCAGGGCAGGAGCGCAGCCCAUAGCAUGCGAGCUGUUCUAGUGCCAGUUCAAGAAAUAGCUCGUGUGCUUACCAGAGCCAGACACAGGGCUGAGUAUUUGCUAUGUGUGUGUGAUAAGAGUCUCUCAACCCAUCACAGAGGUGCUGUCACUGUCCCACUUCACAGAUGGGAACACUGAGGCACAGAGUCAUGAGACAACUUGCCCAAGGUUCUGUACAUGUGUAGUCAGGCAGGCUGGCUGCGGAUCCAAGCUCUUCAUCACUCUGCUGGGCUGCCUCAUUUCCUGUCAUGUGGAACAGGUAACAUUAUAGCCAGAUAAACUGAGAUUUAGAUCCUGCCACUCCUGGCUGGUGGCACUAGGCAAGUUACCAAACCUCUCUGAGCUUCAGUUUCCUCAUCUAUAAAAUGGAAAUACCAUGUAUCCUAAAGUAUUGUUUUCAGGGUUAAAUUAAAUUCUCUGUGUGCAGUGCCUGGUACAUACACAAGAGCACUCAACAGAGGCAGAUACAUUUUGCAUACCUCUCACGUAUACUGUCUGGUCUGACCCCCUCAAGGUCAAGAGCCUAUGGAUCGGAUGAACUGUAUGGGAGACAGCUCUGUAUGAGCCCAGCAGAUGUUAGCAGUAGGGUCUGACCACCUCCUCUUCUAUCCCUAAUCCCAGCCUUGAAUCCCACCUUUCCACAAGGAAAGGGCAGAAGGUGUAGGCCACAGCCAGGAGGAAGUGGAUCCCCAAUGAAAAGUCCUAUUCCUUGACAGAAACAGAGUCUUUCUGGAACUCCAAAAUGCCCAGGAGCUACUUUCUAGUCGGGUGUGAGAGGGAGUGCACGGACGAUGAGGCAGCCUGGCAGGAGAGCCACUAGAGGCUCUCGUGUUUCCUGAAAAUCCCCCCACCCAAACCUCCCCCAGGGACCUGGGAUCUGAAAUAAGUAACUCUGCCUGUUCCCCGGGAGACUGAGCUGAGCAACAGGGACACAGGCAGCUCUGCCAGGUGGCCACAAGUGGAAACAGACUUCUUCAUCCCAUGCUGGAGGAUGACAUUUACAAAGCCAGGAAUCUAAAACGAAGUUUUCUGCAGAAAGUUCAAGAAUCUAAAAUGCCAUCUUCUCUCCCCAAAGCUCUCCCAGGCACAGCCCUGCUAAAGGAAACACACUUACUUCUGUGUGAACAGCUCUUUAGUAACCCCUGGUUCUUUUUCAGAGAUUCCUGAGAUUGAAAAAACUUCAGGUUAUACAUUUUAAAACCUUAGGAUACUACUGGAUAUAGUAGAAGGGACAAGAUUUCCUCAACCUCCAAUUGCUAAAAGUUUACCUCUCUAGGCCAAGAACAUUAAUGGACAAAACACUGCCUUUUAAUUAGUUUCUGGGAAUGCAAAAAAGACCUUGUAAGAGAUUUGGUUAAGGGGGUCAUCCUGGUCUAAAUCCAAAGCCAGAGUUUUGGGAACUCCCACUUAAGGAAUUUCCAACAAGGAAACUUUUGAGGGAGGACUUGAAUACCACAUGACGGCUUAUAAGCAGUUAUCAAGCUACACUGGUGCAAUUCAUAUUUCUGACAGAUUAUGCUGAUGUGCCUGUGGCUAAAUGGCACUCAGCAAGUGAGAAUGCAGACUCGCAGAGAGAACCAGAAACCCCAAGCUGCUUUCCAAAGAAGCAUCUGCAGCCCUGCCCCAGCAGUGGCCAAUGCGCAGCUCUGAAUUCUGCUAUGAGUCACCCAGCUUCCCUCUCCUGACCAGAGCUGUUCAGGGUAGAGACCCUGUGUCUCGGUUCAGCAGUCAUGCAUCUGUUCACGUGCAGACCUCUGGAAGCACAGGAAACGGGUUGCCAAAAAGGGACACCAGAGAACCCCCAAGUAUGAGCAAGACUCAUCAGCUCUCAGGGCUCAGCUGUCCCCCGGGUCAUCUUGACGGGCACAUCUGUCUCGGAGUGAAGUCACCAAGGAAAAACCCAGCUGAAGAAAAUAUUUUCAGGCAGUCGUCAUUUGAAUCUUCGGAAAAGGAAGCGAGCCGAUAAACUGCCAAAGAGCCCCGGGAUUCAAGGUGGCCAAAGAGGCGCAUGGAAAGUAUUUGCCUUGGGAAUGUGGGCAGCUGAGCUAUUUACACAGUGUGUGGCCAGCACGACGCAAAUGGACCAGAAGCUCCUAGAACUGUUUCCUCUUCCCUUUCCUUUCCCCCUUUCCCUUAACAGGAUAGCCAGCCAGCAGAGGCUCCCUGUAAACCUGAGUCAGGAGGAAAGGCCGUGGGUGAGUGACUAGCAGCCAGGUGAUAUAGGGCAGAGGCCAGCAGACUCACCUUGUUUGGCUACAUUUUUUUUCUAAAUUAGUUGCUAACAUUUAAAAAUCAGAUUCCACACAAAAAUCCGAAUUCCCAACUUCUCUUUGAAAUCCUGGGCCUGUAAUCCCGGACAGCGGCCCCUGCCUGGGGCUGAGCAGCAGCCACUUAAGAUGGGACCUUCUCUUCCCCUGUCACUGGGUCCCGCUGACACAGGUCACCUGCCCGGCCCCUGGUGGCAUUUGAGUUUGAGCCGCUGGAUUUAGAGACAAAGGGGAAAGUGCUGAGGAAAGCCAAAGACCUCCACUGUAGUCUACUCACUGGCCAUGUCAACGCGGGCAAGUCACCUACUUUGCUGAGCUGCUGUUUCUCCCUCUGCAAACAGAAAUGAAAAUGCACAGCAAGGCCUCAUCCCCAAAACUGUAGGGAGGACUAGGUAGGAAAACACGGGACAUGCUUGAAAACCUGAACACACACCAUGCAAGUAAGAUGUGGCCCUUCGGGUCUGAAAGAUGAAAUAGAACACCAAGACAAAACGGGCCUCUCUGAUGAGAUGAGUAGCGGAGGAAACGACAGAUCACACAAAAGCUACCUCGGUGGUCACCGGCGGGGGCUGAGAUGGAAGCCAGGAUUUCUAAACCACCCAGCCCCACCAACCUGGCCCUGCCUGCGGUACCACCUCCCCACCCAGAGAAGUGGAACAUCACUGUGGUCGUGGCUGAGCAGUACCUGACUCUGACCAACCUCUGCCUCUAAUUAGUUACAACACAAUUUAGAACCCGGGAUGGUUGGCGUUUGGGACUUGCAGCCACGGCCCAGCCCAGGUGAGGCGAGGAGACACUCACGGAAGCACCUGUGGUGGGGCCAGGAGGAAGCCUAGCAUCCUGGCAAUGAAACUCAACACUCAAAAUGCUAGGAGUAAAUCACAGGGCACUGUGGCCUCUGGGGAUUUCACAGUGUAGCGGCCAACUGCAUUUUGAGGGGUGACCCAAAAGCUCCUGGCCAUCUGCGGUCUUCCCCACCAGCCUGCCUAAAAAUGAAAGAAAUGACAGACAUGACCGCAGAGGGCUACCAAUGGGCUUCUCAGAAGAUAAAGAGAGGUUUAAAUGAUAAAGGCAUCAGUCCUAUAUCUGCCCCAAAGCCCUCCUUAAGGCCACAUGUGGAGAGCGAGCAGCUGUGAUACCAGAAGGGAGCACAUGGCACGGUGGGAUCUGGUGCCUGUCGUGGCAGCAAUGACUCAGGCCACCCAAUCAGGGCAAGACUCAGCAAGGUCUGCCAGCUCCCAUCAAGCCAGAGGCGCUCAGAGGGAGAAGCUGUAAGUGCUUGCUGCUCUCAGGAGCAAGAGGUCAUCUUGCUUCUUACCAGCUCCUUACCAAGGCAUCAUAUGUGACGGACAUGGCUCCCUGGUGUCCAGGGGCUCCAGGGGCUCUGGGAAGAUAGAGCAUGUGCAGCGUCAUGCCCCAGCACACUGACCCCACAGAUCUAAUGGGACCAUGCUGAACAUAUGAGGAUCACAAAUUCCAUGGGAGACCCUAAGAUCUACCCUCAGGGACAGCUAAGGCGAUUCUGGAACAGGGCUGCCAAAACAGCCAGUCAAUCACUAAAGUUCCUAAUUUACCACCCUGACAACUCUCCCUACGGCUAGCACCCCUUGCUCUUCCUAUCUCUCCAGGAUCACAACAGCCUGUCCUGCCUUGGGUGUGCCUUCCUGCAACCCACUCUCCACUCAUCAGCCUUGCAGAUCUUUCUAAAACAUCAAUCUGAUCAUGCCAAUUUCAUCAUGUCCCUCCCCUGCUUUAAACCUUCUGUGGCUUCCCUAAAGCCUGCAGGACAAAGACCACAGACCACACAUGGACUCUCAAGGGCUCUCGCCUCUCCCCACCAAUGCGUCCCUUCACUCCCUGGGCUGUUGCAAAACUGAUCUGGUUGUGUUUGCCAACACACACCACACUGCUUCAUGCUCCUGAACCUUUUGUGCUGGCCCCUCUGGCUGGAAGACCCUUCCCCUAACCUACCGAGAGAACUCUUCUUCAUUCUUUACCAUGCGCAAUUAUCACCUCCUCUUUGCACUUUUUGCCCAAUGCACUCAAAAAGGCUAAUCGCUUCUCCCCUAUACCUCACACACGCAUCUGCUUCUCUGCUGAGAGGACAUUCACGUGAUCUGGUGAUGACAUGAGUGUUACCCCCACUAGAGUGAGCAUUCCUUGAGGACUGGAAAUGGCCAGUUCAUUGCUGAACCCCUAGGCCCUACCUGGCACACUGCUUUCCCAGAGUUGGGAAUCGAUAAAUAUAGGCUAACAUAAACAUGUGGGAACCCCGCCAAGACCCAAGAGUCUGGUUGAGAAAGCGGAAGAGUGCUCAGAAUGCCUAGCCCUUACUGUGGGGUCUGGCUUAAGGGCGGGGUUUCUGAAGCAGAAAGGUAAGUUAAGUAAGGGUUGCCUCACACCCAGAGGCCAAGAACCAGAGGCAGCAGCAUCCAGACUCAGUGAGGUCCCACAACCAGGGCCAGCCCAUCAGGGAGAGAGGCAAACAAGAGGAGCUCUGGAACCAGGACCCAGGCAGGUAACCUGGGCUGGCUCCUGGACUCCUUUGUCCAAUCAGACCACCCACAUUUUCUGACAUCAGUGCUGUCCCUGGAUGCACUGGGCACAGCUGUGAGUGCUUUCUCCUGCAGAUCUGGGAUAGGGCUACAGGAAUUCAGAAGAGGAAGCUAUUACUUUGGGAGAAAAAGGGAAAAAAUUAAAAAUUAAGGAAGCUUCAUGGAAAAGGUGACAUUUAAGCUAAGUCUUAAAAAGAUGAGGAAAAUGUGUGUGUGUGUGUGUGUGUGUGUGUGCGCGCGCGCGUGCGAAGUGGAGGUUGGUAUUUCAGGAUUGAGAAAAGCAUAAGCAAAAGCCUAGAAGCAAAAAAGCACCAACAGCACAGCCAACAGCACAGCCAACAGCACAGCCAACAGCUUGGCUCAGCUCAGCACUAAGGGCCUGGCACGGAGCAGUUUGCCCCAGAGGGAGGCAAAAAGAGGGAAAAUUGUCUGUAAGGAAUUUAAAACAAUACUGAAACUGAUGGGCUUUUUACCAUGACCAUGAGCUGGCGAUUCUGAUUUAAACAUAAUCCAACACCUCCCCCAACAACCUUUUGUCUAAUUCUGAACAAUUGCUGCAUUAUUCUUGACUUUUAAUAAUAUAUGUAAGCUUCAAAUUCACACAGACUAAUUACCUUUUCAUAAACAUUACAUUCUCUAUGGAAGUUAAUUCAAAUAACUCAUAUUAAUAGUUGCAAAGCCAGCCCCUGACACCCGUGGACUCAGCUACCCAUGUUUCAAGAGCAAGUUCACAGGAUUCGGUAUCAGUGGCACUCACUUUGGGGUGGCUCGUCCCCCGAGUCCUGUGGUACGAUGUGUUCCUAAGCUUGAAGACCAGACCAAAAAUAAAGGCUGGAAGCACAGUCAUUGUAAAGACAAAGAAAUAGAACCUGGGCUAUUCCAUCCUCUCAUUCUACCAGACCACUUGGGAGUUUCUAUUUAUGUUUCUGACUUUUCAACAAUGAGAUGUUAAUCAAUCCUGAAGAACUGAAGAACAGGACUUUGUUGCAAUGUCUGGAAUUUACUGUGAAAUGGGAUUGUUGUGAAUUUCUGCCAAAUUUUAUGUUUAAGAUUUAUCCUAUUUGUAUAUCUGCUGUUUCAACCAAAAGAAAUUUUUCAAAAUUAACAGGAAUAAAAAGUGCUCUGCGACCAGCUUUGAGGGAAGAUAGACCAACAAAUGCGGCUUUGUCUAUUGAUCAUGAUGAAUAGGGAAAGAUCAGUAUUUACGAAGUCUGAUCAAUUUACAGAAGACUCAAAACCAGAAACUAUAGUUUUUAUUCAUUACUGCUACAGACCACUAUGAAAGUGUAACCUUUCCCCUUUUUCAAAAUAAGCAUUAGCGUCAUUAAAUUCAUUACUCCCUGCCCCCCUUUUUUUAUUGCUGGCAUCAUAUACACAAAAUUCAAUAAUAGAAAUGUUUAACUGUCUGAAAUUAUUUUCUGGCCAUUAUCAUCAUCAUUAUUAUUUAUUUCUUAAUUAUUGAAAUAAUUUUGUUACUAUAGAAGAGGGGAGUAUUUUAAAAAAUCUACUCCUGAGCUGGGCAUGGUGGCUCACGCCUGUAAUCCCAACACUUUGGGAGGCCGAGGCGGGUGGAUCACCUGAGGUCAGGAGUUCGAGACCAGCCUGGCCAACAUGGUGAAACUCCGUCUCUAGUAAAAAUACAAAAAUUAGCCGGGCGUGGUGGCGGGCGCCUGGGCUGAGGCUGGAGAAUCGCUUGAACCCAGGAGGCGGAGGUUGCAGUGAGCGGAGAUCGCGCCAUUGAAUUCUAGCCUGGGCAACAAGAGCGAAACUCUGUCUCAAAAAAAAAAAAAAAUGUACUCCUGGUGUAAAAUAUGCUAGAUGCACCACUGAUUCAGCUUCCCAACAAGAAGGUCCUAAGAGAACAGAAGGUGAGUCUUCUGGAAUAACAAAGCCAACAUCACCACAGGCCUCAACUGCCAGGCUAAUGAACUUGGACUACUGUCUCUAGGUAAAUAACAGAGAAAAUUACCAAGAACUAUGACUAUCCAAAACGUGAAAACUCAAAGUAUCAAAAGCAAAGACACCUGCAAACCAAAGCAGAAGUCAAAUAAACUGCAGAAAAUAUUUUACAAAAUAAAGUAUGCUUGAAGGGUUAAGUUUUAUAUACAAAGAACUCAAACAAAUGGGUAAAAACAAUCUCAGGUGCCAGUAGAUAACCUGGCAACAUACAUAUAAUUCAACAUACAUAUAAUGAAAUAAUAAUAUAUGUUUGCCUAUUAGCAACAAAAAAAAUGUUUUUUUGGUUUGUUUUUUUUUUGUUUUUGUUUUUCUGAGAUGUUGUCUCGAACUGUCGCCCAGGCUGGAGUGCAGCUGCACAAUCCCAGCUCACUGCAACCUCCGCCUCCAGGGGUCAAGCAAUUCUCCUGCCUCAACCUCCUGAGUAGCCUGGACUAGAAGAUGCACGCCACCAUGCCUGGCUAAUUUUUGUAUUUUUAGUAGAGAUGGGGUUUCACUACUUGCCUCAGCUGGUCUCGAACCCCUGACCUCAAGUGAUCCGCCUGCCUCGCCCUCCCAAAAUGCUGGGAUUACAGGCGUGAGCCACCAAGCUCCGCCGCAAAAAAAAAAAAAAAAAAAAAAAAAAAAAUUUCAAUAGUGAAUCCUAGUGUUGGUGAGGAGGAGAGUAAGGUGUGAUACAUGCCAACCCACUGCUGGGAGGCAUCCCCAAGACACAUGACCUUUUGGGAAAGCAGCCCAGGAAUAUUCUGCAAGGGCCAUAAAAAUGUUUCAACCUUUCAGUUAUUUAUUUUACCUCUGGAAAUCUACUUAAGGAAAUACUCCAAAAAACGGAAAAAGUUACAUGCACCAAGAUGUUAAUUAUGCCAUUGUUUCUAAUAACAAUAGUAGUGAAAAUAGCCCAACUUCCAACAACAGAGGAUGAUUAAACAAAUUAGAGGCACAUCCUUGGGAUGGAUCGUUCAGUCCUUAACUAUCAGGGUUAAGAAAGAAACGUGGAAAAUGUUGCUAUAAGAUUAAGGGGCAGGGAGCAGAAUUAGCUACGGAAAAUAUACAGACUUAGGCUAAGAAGAAAUAUACCAAUUUAUAAGAGUAGUUGUACUAAUACGCAUUUCUGCACAUUAACUUUAUACUGGCUUUGAUCAACGAUUUAACCCUUUGCUCUCAUUUCUCAGUUAUUAUAUUCUAUUGCACUACAUGCAUAUUUGUAAGUAUCCACAAAUCUUUUGAAUAAGGUAGAAUACAAAUUAACCAAUUAAUUAAUAAUGCAUAGAAUCAAGCUGUUUCAUCAUUAUGAUCGUAGGGUUAUGAUGAUACCUAUUCUUUUUAUUUUCGAAAUUUCUGUAGCCUGGUUAGUUUGCUUUUACAAUGUAAAAAAUAUACAGAACACCAAAUAAACAAGUAACAUAAAGAAACUGCUACCAUAUCUUACACCUUCAGUGCUCCUUCCUAUAUUUGAUCUGAGAACACAGCACUCUCCAAAAUGUCCCUUCAGCUAAGGGAGAAAUAGGGCUUUCUUCCUGUAGGUUCUGUGAGCUCAGGACUGAAAACUGUUCCCUGAAUGGGUUGACUGCUCCGUGAAGACCCCAAGGAUCUCUAGAAGCCCAGGAACAUUAGUGGAGGACCAUUCGGAUGACAGACAGCAGCUAGACUCCUAGGGUGGAGGCGCCUUCCCAAUAUUCAAACAACAUGGGUAAGAACAGGAUCAGAAAAGAGACUGAUGUGGGAAACCCUUCCACAAAGAACAGAUCAAAGGAGUGAGCCCCUGAGGGCAGGGACCGUGGAAUCCAUCUUUGUACUCCUUGCUACAAAUGUGAUGCCAAGUAAAAGAACCCAAUAAAUGCUGUUGCUAAUGGAUUCACGCAUGCAUGCACACAUGCAUUCACUGUUGGACAAAUAUUUACAGAUGUGCCACUGUUCUAGCCGCAGGUGAUUUAGCAGUGAACACAACGAAGUCCCUAUCCUUAAAGCAGCUUACAUUCUAAGUGGGGACAGGCAGAUGAUAAACAAAUAAAGACAUAUUGCAUCAGGCAGCUAUGAGCAUCCUGAAGAUAAAUAAAGCCAGGUAGGGGAAAAGGGAGAACCCCAGGGAGGCGGGGAGAGGGGUGUGCUGGCUUAGUUGGCCAUGGUCUUUCUGCAGGAAGUGAGGGGCUGAGCCAUACACAGGCAGAGGGUAUGGCACUGCAGACAGAGGGAGCGGUCAAGUGCACAGGCUUUGAGACAGGUGUGUGGGCAGCUUCAAAGGCCAGCAGGAACAGCAAAGUGGCUGGAACAGAGUAAACAAAGAGGAGAAUAUAUCACAUAUGAGGUCAGUUCUUGCAGAGUUUUUUAGGCUGUUCUUAGGACUUCGGAUUUUAUGUCAGUGAGAUAGGAAGCUGCUGGAGGGUUUUGAGUGAGGAGUGUCAUAGUCUGGCUUAUGUUCUAAAAGGCUCACGCUGCUUCUGUGUGUACACCUGGGGAACAGAAAGCAGGCGAGAAAGGGUGAAAACAAGAAAGAUCCAUUUUGAAGCUGCUGUAAUUGUCCAAGUGAGAGAGGAAGAUGGAUUUUUUUAAAACUCUCCAUUUUAGACUGAGAAAUAAAAAUUUUUUAUCUGAGAAUCCAAGCCCCCUUUAAUUAUCAAACCCAGAGAGGCACCGAAAUGUGACAGCGUGUGACAGCGAUCACGUCUCACUCCCCGCCUGAGCUAAAUAAUCACCUCUUGAAGCCACUUGCUAUGUGGGCUCAAGACUAACUGAUGCUAAGUAGCCAUAAAAUGACAUAUGCUUGACACCAUCACUCGUACUCCAUAGUUCAACAGUGUAGAGCAAUCACUAUCCAAUGUUAUCUCUGUAAACCAGGGAGGAUUCCUGUCAAACAACUUUGUAUCAGCCCACUUCCUUGUUCCUUUUGCCUUUGAAAACCUGCUUGUAACAAAGGCCAAACAGAGCACUCCCCAAGGCAACUUGGAAGUGUGUCCUGGGCAGCUGUCCUCCACCUUGGCUCAGAUAUUAGGUCGACAAGACCACGGCUGUCUUUCGGUGUGAGGCAUAUGGCUUCUUCUCACUCCCACUCUAACCUGGAGCUGCAAUCCCUGCUGAAAGAAUUGCCCUCUAAAGGCCUAAGGAUCUCAGCAACAGGGAAGUGGGAGGAAUCUUCAUGCCAGAGAUAAAGAGCUGGUCCAUGGGCAUGUGUGGGAAGCACUGGGGUAGGGCGAAGAAAUCUAUCUCCUGGGAGGUGUUAUCACUACAUAAAUCCCAGAUUUGAUCAGGCAAUGUAGCCAUCUCACUAUUUCAGGCUGCAGCUGCUAAGACAGGUGUGAAGUGGGCAGACAAACAGGAAGAAGGUCCCAGGUGGAGAACCUGCAUUUGGCUUCUGUACCCCAAUUCCAGUAAUUAACAAAGCAAAAACCUGCCACACUGUGAAUGAUGGCCCUUCCCAACCAGAAUCCUGUUUCUGACAAGUGGUGAAGACACUCUAAAAUGCACCGAGUGUAUGACAAGGACAAUCUUCUGGAUAUUCCCAUUUAAACAGGGAUGGGCCGGAUGCAGUAGCUCAUGCCUGUAAUCCCAACACUUUGGGAGGCUGAGGCAGGAGGACUGCUUGAGGCCAGGAGUUCAAGACCAGCCUGGGCAACAUGGUGAGACCCCUUGUCUCUAUAAAAAACACAAAAAUUAGCCAGGUGUGGUGGCGCGCACCUGUGGUCCCAGCUACUCGGGAGGCUGAGGCAGGAGGAUUGCUUGAACACAGGGGUAGAGGCUGCCAUGUUCGUGCCACUGCACUCCAGCCUGGGUGACAGAGCAUGACCCUGUCUCAAAAAACAAUAAAUAAAAUAAAACAGGGAUGAACUGGAGAAACUGUGAAGGUAUAGGUGCUGUCUUGCUUAGGGGUGGGGAUGAUUUACGGAAGGCUAACACAAGGGCCUUGGUUAGUCUAAAGAUAAUCACGGCAACUAGGUGGUGGUACCAGGAACUAGUCCACCAAAUCCCAACCUGCAGCCAAAAAGUCUCAACUCUCACCUAUAAAGGGAUCCUUCUAAAUUCUCUAGAUGUAUGGAAAUCUUUGACAGGUCUUCUGAAGCCUAGAGUCAUCGUAUAAACAUAGAUAAAUAGUGUAGAUAUUGCAUAGCUAUAGAUUGAUAUGUACAUAUACCAUAUACAUUAGAUAUAUGCUAUAUAUUUACACUUCUUGGCCUUUCGGCUUUAUUAUCUAUCUCCACAAAGUAGGACAAGACAAGCUUGUUUCCCAUUUAAGUUUUUCUAUCUGUACUGUUUUGCAAAUCCACCAGAGAGUUGCAGGACACUCCUGCUACAGAAAGAUUUCUGCCAGGCAGGCUCAGAGACCUGCUCUGUUACUGUUCUAUUUAAUAACACAAACACACAAAUGGGGGCCUUUCUUCCCCAUGACUUUCAUGGCAUGGCUGGGGGCAGAGCUGGGAGGUUUUCACGGCCCAUAUAUCCUCAAACUGCUCCAUUUCCCCCCGAUCUCAGUUGCCACCCCACUAACUCCGGGGUGAUCAGCUCCAUACCACAAUCAUCUCCUGGUGAUAGAGUUCCAUGGAUUUUAAAAGCUGUAAGAAAAACUGAGACAGAUUCAGAAGAGAUUCUAGUAACCCCAAACCAGCAAUUACAAAUAUUUUUUAAGUAUUUAUAUAUACACAUUUUUUUUUGAGACAGAGUCUCACUGUUGCCCAGGCUGGAGGGCAGUGGCACCAUCUCGGCUCACUGCAACCUCCAACUCCCAGGUUCAAACCAAUCUCCUGCCUCAGCCUCCGAGUAGCUGGGAUUACAGGCACCUGCCACCACACUUGGCUGAUUUUUGUAGUUUUAGUAGAGAUGGGGUUUCACCAUCUUGGCCAGGCUAGUUUUGAACUCCUGACCUCGUGAUCCACCCACCUCAGCCUCCCAUAGUGCUGGAAUUACAGGCGUGAGCCACUGUGCCUGGCCUAAUUUUUGUAUUUUUAGUUAGAGACGGGGUUUCACUAUGUUGGCCAGGCUGGUCUCGAACUUCUGACCUCAGGUGAUCUGCCCGCCUUGGCCUCCCAAAGUGCUGGGAUUAAAGGAGUGAGCCACCACACCCAGCCACAAGUUUUAGAUACUUAAAAUACUUUUAAGUAUCUAAAAUUAGCACCUCUCUUUAAACCUUUUACUCACCCUUUCCUGACCCUUUCCUUGUAUCCCCCAUUCCCUUUCGAUUUCUUCACCAUCCCUAUUUGCCUCCUUUUCCUCACUAUCUACCCACCAAGUCCUGCUCUGCUCCCAUCCCACUUAAGAUUUUCGUGUCUAUUCUGUAUCACCCUUAAUGAUCCACUGAGGCUGUGAGCUUCCUGUUUACCCACAAGCGUUCAGCGGAUCCAGCCAUCCUACCAAGGGUUAAAGAUGCUGUAGUCCUACUGUGCUGCCUCCGACCCAGUUCCUUCCAAAACAAAGCAGGAUGACAAGGUGACUCCACGAGAACUGCGUUUGACCUCUGUGUGGGUUUUCUGUUUCCAAGGCCACAGCAGGGUACUCUGAAAACUCUAAACCAGAAGGAAAGGAGACCUAGCCUUCAGAACUCUGUGUGUAUGUGCUUACAGGCAAAAAAAAAAAAAAAAAAAAAAAAAGGAACCAAUGAGGUUGUCAGAAGGGGAUACUCUGCUGUAACUGGUGUUUACCACGACCCACCGGGUGCUGAGGAGGAAGUGGUUGCUAUAACCCCAAGGGGGAAACGCUCGCUUGAAACAGGAAAAUAGAACUCUUACAACUUUCCAUUAGCAGCGUUCAAGAAGCCGGCCACACUGGGAAACACUUGCACAAGCACUCCCCAGAGUCCUGAGACGAGUGUCAAGACAGUCCAAUCACGAAGCACAGAUCAGGACACAGAUACAGGUCCAUGUUUUUUCCAGAACGUCUCAGCACUGGAAAAACUCUCAUGAUCACUUCCCUUACCUCCAGCAGGCUGAACUUGCAAGGAGCUGUGGGGAGGAGGAAGGAAGGGGAAAAUGGCAGGAUGACAUAUUGGAAAGAACGCUGGGCCCAGUGAGGGUCAGAAGACCUGGGCUUUAGUCCCAGUUCUGCGAUUUACUAGUGGUGGAACUUUGGGCAAAUUACCCAACCUUCCUGCUUCUCGAUUUCUACUUCCUCUAUAAAACAGGGAUAUUGUUUACUGCUCUGCUCACAUCCUUGGGCUGCUGUGAGAAUCCUAUGGAAUCCUUCAUAGGAUGAAACUCGUAUGUGCUACGCAAAUGCUUGUUAUCAAUGUAAGAUUCGAGUCUGCAUAAAGCCUUCUUGAGUCCCAGCCUCUUGCUCCUCAAACGCAUCCUCUCGGCUACACUUCCACCUGUGCACUUCCUCAACCCACCUUACUUGUAAUUCUGCCCACACUUCUGUAGAAUUUCUGUAGAAGAUCCCAUAGUCUGGUCAGAGGAGUAUAAGCAAGUCUAAAUAACCAAAGUGGGGGGAUCUCAACCAAAUCAUUUGACUCUGGGCUCUGUGCUCCCACAUUCUCUCCUCUCCAGAGGUGAAGACUUCAUCCUCAAUGGCUAAUUUGCCUGCUUGGAGGCUCAGAUUGGCCCGUGUUCUGAGUCAUAUUUUCCAUUUAGUAAAAUGAACAUCUGGCUGCUGUAUGAUGCCUUUUGUGUACCAUCACCUAAGCCACAAUUACCUGCAAGGUAAUUCAUACCACUACAGCACGGUGCAAAAACAGGGUUGGUUUGGGAUGGUGAAAGUCAGCCAUCUUAGUGUCAAUCUUGCAUGCAAAUUCUAAUGAAGAAAAGCCACUACCAGCAGGUCCACACACACUCACAAAGAACUCAUAAAUUAUUUUAAUCCAAGCGUUCAAAGGGAUCCUGGGUCCCAGGAACCAUCCUGCUGUUUCAUCUCAGUGAGAGGCAAGAUGGUUAAGGAAAAACAGCUCUAGUUUCCUCCAUCCCCCCAAUUCCCCUACCGGUGUGACCUUGACUAGGCCACCCAACCUUCUAAAAACCUUGGCUUCCUCAUCUGCAAAAUAGGGAUAAUAACAAGACAUGCCCUUCCCGGCUCCCAGGGUUAUUAUGGCAACCAAGUGAGAAAACAGAUGUGAAAGUGCUUUGCAAACCACAAAACACCGUCCAAGUGUGAGGUAUUGUUAUCUAGCAAAAGUGCCUUGAGAAUAACACAGAAAUCUGGAAGUAUUUUAAUUCGUUAAUGGACUUAUACCACACCUUGACUUAAAAAGGACGUAGGGUAACUGCCUGGAGGAAUUCUGAAAUAAUUUCUAAAUAAGUUUAUCCAAGCAAGUUGCCAAAACAAUCCACUGAAUUGGGUAGUAGGCUUUUGGAUAAUAGGAAAACUGCAGAUCGCUGUUCUUUAUUCUUAUUUCACCUUUUGAGCUCUAAAAAGAACUGGAAGGACCAUAUUGUGUUGUCUUUUACGCAAGAACUAAACAGUCUCUUUGUACCCUCCACACCCUCCCUAUUCUCACUUCCAUCCCCUGAGCACCUGGGAAGCAGCUCCUUCUCCAAACCUGCAAACCCUCCUCCCAGAGCCCAGGCUAGCUUGGAAGCCUGGAGCAAUUUGAAACGCCGUCCUAAGAUCUUGAGGCCAAAGGCAUCCCCAUCAUCCUUCCAAGAGGGUGUUACCCCCAGGGACAGCAGGAGUUUCCAGAACACACAAAGACUUAUUCUGCUCACAAGGAUAUUUACCGAAUCAGCCCACAAGAAUUUGCCAGGAUCAGGGCAGAAGAACAGAGCUGGGACAGCCUUCUGAUUCACUGCCUGGCAGAUUCACCCUUCUCUAUUAUUAGCAACCCAGGCACGAUGCCACCAGGGCUGGGGAGAGACCUUGGUGUCAGGGUAGAGAAGGCAGGAAGAGGUGUGUGUGCAGAGGGGGAAGUACACAGAGCUGCCUGAGGUUUCCUCCAGAGAGAGACAGCAGAGGGGUGGGUUAAAGCCUUCUCCCCUUCCUCCUUAGUUCUCUAACCUCCUGUGAAUCUCAGACAAGCCCAGCCCCAGGAUCAGAAGCCCUGGAACCCACAUCCACCCUGAAUAUUGCUGGAGGUACUCCCUCUUCCCCUUAAGGGCCCAGCUCAGAGCUGCACAGCACUGCUUCUGCCGGAUACCACUGGACUCUGGGCUGUGCCAGAGGCUGCAAGAUGGAGAAGCAAAGAGAAACUGACGGGAAAGGUGGAGAAUUUCUCUUCCCAUGGCAAAAAUGCAACUUACUGCAGCCCUAAUGCACAUGUGUUCCCUCCUCAUAACAAUGACUACCACUGAAAGAGCACCCAUUACAUACAUCACAGGGCGUUCGCCUCCUGUUAUAGGCAGGAAAACAACCAUGUGGAGGCUCAGCAGGCUGCCCUGGAGAACGUGGCUAAUGCUGAUUGAGAGGGACAGGACUGAAGGAGGAGACGAGGAGCUUCACCUUCAUGCAUCUUGUAUUAUUUCACUUGUACAGGUAUUUCGCGUGCAUUAUUUAACGUGCUAUAUCAAGCUUGUACAGGCAUUACUUGAAUACAUUGAAAACCAUGAAACGAAGGAAUUAAAAAAAAGAAAGACAUGUUGCCAGUCAAUAGUAGAGUCUAGAUUUGGAUAGAUUUGUCCAACUCCAGAAUAUACUCUCUGGCCACACCUCCACAAUUUGUCCAAAUACCAAACCAGGACAUGGACGCUAACAAAGACUAUUUUUCUAAUGUUAUUCAUGUGAAGAAUUUUACAAAAUAACCAAUAACCAAAUAACAUUUGGUUAUUAAAUAUGAUAAAUGUGGCCUAUGGAAAAUAAAACGACACAAAAUGAAAACUGGCUGCCAUGCAAACUUAGGAGAGGGCAAAGGAGCCACAGUGACCCCAGACUUGCUUUCCCUAAAGGGGGAGGAAAAUCAAAUCCCCUGCAGAUGGCUGCAGACCUCAAAUAGAGUGCUGCCACUGAGGGCAGAGGCCGAGCCCCUGGAGCAGGCUGAUUAGUCUAGUCUAGUGGUUAGGAACAUGGUCUCUGGAGCCAGGCUGAGUGUGAAUUCUGGCUCUGUUCUUCAUAGCUGUGACUUCAGGCAAGCUUAUCUGUGCCCCAUUGGUUUCCUCACCUGUGAAAUGAAUUUGGGACACUGUGUAGAUUAAAAUGUAAAGUGUCUAGCACUAAACACUACCUAAGUGUUCAUUAUUAUUAUCAUUAUCAGUCCUGGCCAGAGAGAAAAAGGGAGAAUUAUCUAUUCCAAAAGGAGCCAGGACUGGGAUAAGGCUUUGGUGAGCUUUUUACGUGGUCUUGACAACGGUGUUCAUGAUAGGCUUAUUCUAGGCCGCUCUCUGCUGUCAGGAAGGAGGUUUCCUGUGUGAAGAGAAGGCCUCCCAGGAAGUGACAAUAGAGGUAUCAAUACUCCCAGCAAGAGAACCACAGGCCCAGAGUGGAUGUCAGAAAGAGGGGCAUCUCAGGGAGCACGCCUCUGCGGAGGGCUACUGAUGAGGAAGAGACCACAUGGUUGCCUAGAAGGCAGGCCUGCGGGGAAGCACUGACGCCAGCACUCAGGCUAGGGGAGUCCCUGGGGUCAACUUGUGCAGAGACUGGCGCUCAUAUCCCAAAGAACUGGGUGCCUCUCUAAGAUAGAGCUCCCUGCCUCCCAGUAUCUCUUCCUGCAGGUGUUUUGUUCCAAUGGCUGACAGCGUCUAUUCAGAAUUCUUAAAAAUGUCACUUUGUUUCCAUCUGUAAAAAGGAAUUAAAAUGUACCAAAAUUCCAAAGAAAAUUGCCCCUUUUCAGAUGUGGCUCCCUGUCUCCCCUCUUCCCUUUUCUGCUUUUGAUCUUAUUUAAAAUCUCUGACCUAAAAGUGAACUCUGAUAUUCCAUGCUCCUGGAGUUUUGGGAGGACCCUGACUUCAGAAGCAGAACUCUUUGAGUUCUUCUGGUUCCAGCUCUGCAGCUAAUUUGGAAACCCCAAGAAAGUUGUGUCACUUCUGUCUCAGUCCAGAAAGUGGAAAGAUUAACCACAUAAACUCAAAAAUACUAUCUGGCUCUGAAAUGCUGUGUUCUUGGGAUAGUCUCAAAAAAGCUGAGUUGUGGGGACUAACCUAAGUCGAUAUUCUACCUCCCUUUUGAACUGAUGUUGAAAGAAGAAAGACGAUAAAAGAAGGUUUUCCUCAUCAGUCAUUCAAGACUAUACUUAAAAUUACAUUUUGCAGAAAUAAAAGCAGUAUUUUUAAUGUUAGGAAAAAGUCUAAAAGGGUGACUACGGGUGAUUUUCAUUUCUUUAUAGUUUUCUGUAUUUAUCCAAUGAUCUGUAAUGGACAUGUCACAGUUUAAAACUCAACUUAAAGGUUAUUGCUCUAAAUUCGAUUUUGCUGGGGAGAAGGUUAGGAGUCUGGCUUCUGAAAGCGUCCUUUUCACCAGUGAAACUGCCCUCACUCCCAACCCUGCAGCAAACCCGGGAAGAGUUAAAGCGCAGGCCAGGCGGAGAGGGCAGGGAGAAAAGGGAACUGCAAAAAGCCUCAACACCCAGUAGAUUUCCUACUGCUGCUGACACUUUGGCCCAGCGUCUGCGCCUCCGACCAGCUUACGGAACCAACCACACCUCGAUCCUAACACAUCACCUGUGAGAGCAGGGUCAACUCUCCAGCGGCCUCAGAUGGCCUCAAACUAAGCUUGGGGAGGGGUUUUCAACCCUGAAAGCCCAGAACUGAGCCUCCAGGCAGCGCAGCGCCCGCGACCACGUGAGCACGGACCCACCUCCCCAGCCUUUCCAUGACGUGACUGCUGGGGCGGGGAUGGGGCGGGGCACACCCAGCUGCCCAAAUCAGCAUGACCCCAAAAGAGCAAGCGAGUUCCUGAAAUUCCUUGAGGUUUGAAAGACAGCUUAGAGAUCCUAAGUCCCUUUUGGCAGAGAGGGGGGAGGUAGGGAAGCCUGAGGGCAUCCCAGAACCAGCAGGAGGCACAGAAAUGUGUCAGCUCUUUCCCCAAGAGAGGAGGCAAUGCUGAAUGUGUUAGGUAGGGUCCUUUUCCGGGACCAGCUGGUGAACCGAUGUGAAGAGUCGGCUCUAAUGAUUACUUGUAUUAAGUUAUCCACGAUUCUUAUGAAAAAGGAAAGCAAAUAUCCCACAGUACAAGAAGGAAAGAAAAGGGGGCCCCAGGCUUUUCAGCAAGGGCGUUUGGAAAGAGAUGGAUAUUGAUGAUAGGGACUUUUCAGAGACCAGGCUCAGCCCAGUUGGGAUGCAACUCAGGAAAGUCAGAUCGAGGGAACUAAACCAAGGUACUGUUGGCCAAGAGACAUUUUAAACGCUUUUUCUCACCAGGAUUCAUAAAGCCCUUUUGCCUUGAAGCCCAUAGGGCACAGGAGAGCUACCCUGUCCCUGGGACAAACGGGAAAAUGUUCAGCCCCAUCCUGGGUGAAUGCAAGACCUCUGCCACCCCCAACACACACACCCUGUGACUACCCUAAGUGGAUGUGUUCUUUCACGUUGCUAAGAAAAAGUCCGCAGCUAUGAAGUGGUCAGCCUCUGAGGUCCAGUCAUUGCCCUGACAAGACUUUGAGAUGCAUGCUCUCUGAAACUCCCCUCCCCUCACCUGGCAAAAAUUAUUCAUGCCAUCCUUGAUAGCCUUUCAGCUGAGCGCCUUGGUCAGAAAACUAACCACCUGCCUCUUCUCACCAUGUCAAACCCAGUCGUCUGGUGAGAAGACCUAACGUGGGGUGCUUCUCAGUCCACAGACAGUGUUGCUGGUUCCGAGGCCAGAUUGUUCCUUUCUUCCUAGCCUGUGAAUAACACUCCCACCUAGAACCAGCCCUUUUGCUCUUAAGGGGUUACACUUCAUUUCCCUUUGAUUUAGCCAGAAAGUUUACCAUUGCAGACACCUCCAUCUGUAAAAUUGGGCAGAGAAGGCAGGGAAAGCAAUUAAUAUGUGUUGAGUGUGUUCUCUGAGCCUACCAUUAUGCAAGACAGCUUGUGUGUCCAUUCUCUAAGUUGGUCUUCACAACCACCCUGGCAAGGGCACAGAGUUGGUAAGUGCAGAAAAUUUGAUAAAUCCAGAGCCCAAAUCUAACCCAGGAUUUCCCUAUGCCAGGCUGCUUUCCUGCAAUCGCCUGGGGCAUACAGAAAAAUACCUAUAUUGAGGUAAAAGGUUUGAUUUAAAAAUUAAAUAUAAACAUUUUCUUUUAAAGCCCAAUUUGCAUAUUUUUGCAUUGUGCAGAUUUGGAUCUGUGCUUCAUCCUCUCCCACCUGCAACAACAUUUAAAUGCCUCAGCCUGGGCACUAAAAAAGGGAGCAAAUGCAGGUCUACUAGCUGGCCAUGUUUUUGGCAACCCUGCAAAACAAAAUUUCCAACUCUCCAGAUGAUACCCCUGCCUCCUCCAAAACAAAUGCCUGUACUCCAGCAUCUGUCACUCAGGAGUCCAAGCUGGGAGUUCAGACGCUGCUUAUAAGCUCAUAGGCUGAAUGAGGGCAUUACAUAAAAAGGCUCAGAGCUAUGUGGAAGCAGUGUAGAAGCAAUGUCAGCAGUCCACCUAAAGGCCUGGCUGAAGAAUUUCUCAGCCUCCUAAAGGAUCCCCAGGCAGCUGCCACCAUCUCAUCUCCAGUAGUCAAAGGACCACCACUAGCUGAAGGCUGGGAGGGCAAUGCAGUGGUCCUUGACCUUGGCUGCACAUCAGUUAUCACCUGGGAGUUUUACAACCAUUGUUGCCUGGGUCCCCCCCCGCCCCGAGAUUCUGGCUUAGUUGGUGUGGAGUGUAGUCUAGCACAGGGAUUUAUUUGUUAAGCUCCCACAUGUUUCCAAAGUGCAGUCUUGGCAAGAACCACUGGACACCAUUGGUCAAAGUGGCCCAAAAGAGCUAGGAAAAUAUAAAUAACAUUCAGCAGGUCAUUCAGGGUUCUUGAGAACAGAGAAUGACCGAAGGGACUUCUGUGUACUGGCAGUGCAAGGCAAGGUAGCAACAUAGAGCAAAGGGUUUGGAGCAAAGCAAGCAGAAAUUUGAGUCCUAGCUCCAGCAUUUUGCCCACCAUGUGACCUGGGUAAAGCCACUCAUUCAUUCUGAGCCUUAGUUUCCUCACCUGUAAAAUGAGGCUGCUUCCCUUGCUGGACUGUGCUAGGAAUUAGCUGCACUAGGGCAUUGCCUGGCACAUACAAGGUCUUCCAUAAGUGACACUUAUGAUUGUUAAUAAACAAAUUACACCUGGGAUUGACUGGUGUUUGGUAUGAAGAGAGGCUGUGGGCUGACAGUACCCUUCAGAGGGGACCCCUUUAGUGAAUGAGAUUCAGACUUCCUUGGGGAGGAGCUGUGGAAGAUAAAAGAAGCUGAAAGUGGUAUAGGAGACAGGCAGGGCAGCCACUCCAGCAUCUGGGGCACCUCCAGCCUUUGUUCUCCAUCUCUAGUCCCUUUUUCUCUGCAAGUUGAGCCUCAGGAGGAGGUGUAUAUUUACAGGGAGAGUCUAGCUGUAUUUGGCCACGUUCUACCUACCAAAGUGGGUAGCAAUCAGACUGGAUUGUGUCACCCUGGAUUGUGUCAUCCGAAGCAGCUCUGCCCAAGACAGGUCUGUCUGCCCACAGACUCACACCUGCCUUUUCCCUCCUACUUUACACCAUGAUGCUCUGAGGGAAGCCAGGCCCUAGAGGGGCAGCCAGCACUGCAACCUGUCACUGUGCUGUCCACGCUUGCAUAAACCUGGGUGGAAGACACAGACCCUGGGAAUGUGUGACAACUGUCCCAAGGCAGAGAGGGCUGGGGAAUCCCAACUCUGCAACACCUCCCCCUUCGUGCUUUGAGCAGCCCAGCAUAAAGGAACCCACUGCCUACAUGAUUCUUUCUCCUUUUCCUUUUCUCUCCUUUCUCCCCUAACACCUGUAGAGUUGAUGGAGCUCUUUCUCAUCCAUUAUUUCUUAUGAUGUUCAAAACAGCCCUGUGAGGCAGCUGACUGCAGGAACUAAGAUGACCUGGAUUCAUCGGUAAGAAAACAGAGGCUCAGGCAGAUGCCAUGACUUGCUCCCAGUCACAGAACUCAUCAGAAACAGGAUUUGAACCCAUGUAUAUGUACCAAGAACCCAUUCUUCUCCACCAUGCUAUGCCCCAUGACCGCCUACCCAUGUCAAAGGCCCUCCUGCUUGCUGUGUAGUAUAAGACAUCUGUGAAGUGGAGACGGUGGCGGGGGAAGGGGAGUGUAGACAUGCAACUAAUCUAAGCUCUAGCUGAACUCAGAGUCCCCCCGACUUGAUGCUCCAUUCUAAAACUGAGUUUGAGCAACACAUCAUUCCCUCUUUUCUAUGCCUCUCUCCUUUCUUCAUCUGAGAAAAUGGCAAAGCCAGCUACCCAAGGACAGGCUGGAGGAGGACUCAAAAUCAACCACCAAACAUCUUACAACAUCUGUGCCUCAGAACACAGCUUUCAUCUUACCAAACUUCACUUUAAAGAAAUGAAGGUACCACAAGGUACCUUCAUUACAAAGAGAUUUUGUUCAAUUGCUGGGCCAAAGUGGGAAAUAUUAAAUUCCAGUCAAAGAAGGUAUGGAUAUCCUGCUAAUUCCCUGAGGCAUGUUCCAUACUGACAAACCAUCUGACUUUCUGAGUGUCAGGGAAAUUUCCAAUCCAAAGAGUAAAUGAACUUCCGUGAGUAGAAAAAUAGCCUCUUCACAGCACCCGAUUCUCUCCCACCAAGAAUUCUCUCUCACCUUUCGCAUGCAGUACUGACGUUGGGGCCAUUAGGAACAAAACGAAGGGGAAGGAAAUGGCACCAGUCCAGGUGUUACCAGACGGAUAUGUGAAAGCAAGUGUAGAAUCACCCCCAAGAAACUCAAAGUAGGAGAAGCACUUGCUCAUCUGUUACCAGAUACUCACUGUCCAGCUGGCCAGCCUAGUGCAUGCUUCCAGAAGGAGACCAGCACCAGCCAGGGAGCAGAGCAGUCAACCUGUGCACCCCACCAUCCUCCCUCGAAAGCCUGCAUGGAAGGCCUGCAUUUGGAUUCACAGAGCAGCCAUUCUUUCAAUGAGCAUAGCAGAGCAGGAUAGAGCAACACUUUUUUUUUCUUUAACCAGGGAAGGGGACCCACAGAGGCAGUACAUACAAACCUGAAAUCAGACUUGUUCUAGAACUGGGGUCUCUUAAAAGCCCUUCUUCUCAGGCACAGGGUCCUUUCCACAAUAGAGAACACUGGUGAACCAGCUCUGGGAAAGGUCAGCUACCGAAAUGCAGAUGAUUGCAUGCAAAGAUCUCAGGCCUUGUGCUUUUCAAAUGAUAUCCUCAUAUGUUCUUUCAUUUGCUCUGCAUGGAGACUCCAGAAGGUUAAGCAGUCACUCAUAUAUAACUUACAGGUAACAAAACCCAAGUACAGAGGGCCCCAAAGACGUCCCUAGAGGCACACAGGUGGGACCAGAGUCCAGAUCUGCCAAGGCCACUGAGCUGCUCUGCCCAUCAUGGAGGGCCCCUGCCUGCCUCCAGCGCUCCACCGUUCACACCCCUGGGUCAACAUUCCCAGGGUGGCAGAUGCUGAACCCACAAUCAGCCAACUCACAGGUCCUACAUGGGGAGAGUGGAAUGGGGUCAGGAAAAACCAUUGCUUUCCUUUUCCCUUUGAAUGCCUGAGUAGACAUUUAAGCCAAGCUGGGGAAUGAAGGAGUUGGCCUCUGCCCCAAGAGGGAAACAGCCCUUCAACGGGAACAACACAGUAAGAGAUUCAUCCAAGAGUCCCUGUCUUCAGAGCUACCUCCCUACACCUCCAUCUGCGGACGCCCCUUUCAAAACUCAACCUGUCCUCUUGCCAUCCACAGGAUGUUUUAAUUUCCUUAGAAUGUGGCACUUCAAAAUUCAGCUCGUGCUGAGCUCAGUGUUCAGCACCCUGGCUCCACGCAUGCCCGCUCUGCCCCACCCCUGCCCCUAAGUCCUGGCGACAUUGACCCACUCACCAUUUCCCGGUCCCGCCACAUUCUCUCGGGUUUCCUGGCCAUUGCUCACGUGGACCUUCAACUUGGAAUCAUCUUUCCCUCCCUGUCCAGCCACUGAAGUCCAACUCAACAGUAAAGAUGUUAUUGACUGUCCCCUCUCCCACAGAGCCUCCACAGAUGAGCUCUGGGCCUCCCAGCAGGCUCCAGGGCAGUAGCUGUUCUUCCCUGUCUGCACCCACACGGCAUGACCCUGCCCUCACAGGCCUCCCUGCAGCCUCUACCCAACGACUCUGUGAUCUGACUGCAUGUCUCUGUGACCAGUGACACCUCCACGUCCUCAAGGGCAGGCACCAGGGCUUGCUGGGCUGGAAUGUUCAGCAUGUAACAGGUGUUUAGUUCAUUGUUUAUAAAAUGGACACAUGAGUUAACUAAUUAAAAGCUCCACAACAUUGUACAAGGAAAAAAAAUUCCACUUUCUCAUCCAUGAAGCUCUGGAGCUGGGGAAAUGAAGCGGCUGGCUGCUGGGUGCCGCGGUGAGCUGUGGGGCAGCACGAGGAAGGUUCUGAGCCAAUGAAUGUGAUGCAAGACAAGAAACUGAGGAUGGGGGAGGAAACGAGAAAGAGUGAGGGAGAAGAGGAGGGGGAUGAUGAAGAUUCCAACCUGAGACAUUAUUGCAGAAAGCAACCCCAGGUUAACAAGGCAAGUUGCUAAAGGAAAGGGAAUGGCAGAUAAAGCGACCCCCCGCCCUAAAAGGCUUACCAGGGCACUUCAGCAGAACCCAAGGGAAAGCCAUGUGGGCCAGCAGGCUUCCGAACCAGUUCUGUCUGCUCUAAUGAGGCCAUGGGGGUGGAUGGGCAGGGGGCAAAUCACAGAAGCAUCUGCUCUUGAAUCAACAGUGAGGCUCUGGCUGGCUGAAGAAUGUCUCCAACUCCCUAGUCACCCAGUGGGCCUAAUUUCAUUCCUGGACAUGUCUAGUAUAGAUUGAAAGGGAAGCCAUAGUCAGUUUCAAAAAGAAGUGGAAAAGUUCCCUGGGGUUCACUGAGAUACCAUUAUUAGAUUGGGGUUCCCAGGAGCAUUUCUUGUUAAGUGUCAAGUCCAGAGUUUGACCUUUGGGGAAAUGGGGGAAAUUCAAAAGGAUCAAAGCCCCCAAACUCCCUUUAGCUCAGUGGGAAAAACCCAAAGCUCCUGCCCUGCCUCUGUGCAUCCUCUGGGGCCCUGAAACUGCGUCAGCGUGCGGUGUAACGUGCCCUCCAUCCCAGCACAGACAUAACACAACGUAAAACUCAUUAAAGACCAGAGGACUCUGUACCUAUCUGGCACUAAAAGGAGAUCUCCUGCCACAUGUCUCCCAUCUGGAUUCUUUCAUGAAAGAUCAUGUGUAGCUGUGCACAAUGUCGAAAAAGGACAUCCCAAAGGGUUUAGGUGUGUGUCCGUUUUUCCUAAGGCUUGUCCUGGGGUGCCAAGUGUGCACAUGCCACUGUGCCCUGGGGGCCACAUAUGGCUGACUUAUCUGGCAAUGGGAGGGGACAGAGCAGAACUGGAGGUAGAGAAAAACGUGCAGGGAGAGUGAGUUAUUGCCAAGAGGAUUUGACUGUGCUGUGACAACAGAAGUCCCCUGGGUCUUCAAGCCUCAGGCUGGGAUGCUAUAAUCUGGAACCUCCAGGGAGUAACAUCACCAGGUGCUGGCAGGGACUAACGUCCUGCCUCACUGAUGUGGCACAAGUCAUUUGCUGCCUUGGGUCUCUAGUACUGUAUAUUUGUAGUCAGUGAGCAAAAAGGAAUAUUUAAAAAAGGAAUCUUUCUAUAGCGUCAUUUACACUUGGGCCAAAAUAAGAUCAGAGUGGAACAAAAUAAAAUCUGGUCAAGAAGAGAAGGCAGAAAUAGUGCAGAAUGCUGCCAAAUAUUUCCACCAUGAGAUAUAGAACCGUAAGUUAUUCAUAAGAGAGCUCUUCAGAGUCAUGAGUCUAUGGCUUCCAUCCUCGGGAUGAAAACAAAAAUCUCACCCACUGUCCACAGUGAAACAACCAAAAGUGGGCCUUAAAGGGGAACACUAGGGUUUGGAGUCUUCUGUGCCAUCUGCCCUCCCACAUCACACCCUGAUCCCUUGUUUCCAGCCUCCAGCUCAGAGGCCAACAUAGGAACAGCCUCUACCCUCUGUCCCUGGAACAGCUUUUUCCACUGAGACCAAGGGUGCUGCCCGCUGUAAAGGAACAUGAAUGAGCUCAGAAACCACAUCUGCUUUUGCACUUGUCAACUUGAGGCUGGCAAAACUGAGGGGUUCCAUGAAACUGCAGCCCCAGCAGUUCCAGCACUGUAGGGAGCACUUACCUAGAGACACAGUGCCCUCCUGCCCUCCUGUGGCCUUGCUUGGCACAGAGGGGCCACACAGAUACCAACUGUGGGAAGGAUCUCUAGCUGGGCAGCAUCGCCAUUGCUCCUCAUUGUCCAGGGGCCUUUUGUGUGUGGCUCUCUACUCAAGACCAUAGGGAUGGAGGUAAAAAGAUUAAAAAGAUACUGCUUCCGAGUUUCCUCAAGGAGCUCACCAACUUCCCCAGGUGUCUGGGGAGGAGGAAAGAGCAGCUCCUACAACCUCAAGAGUCUUUGCCAGGACCAGCCAAGGGAGUGUCUGUAACAACUAUUUUUAAAAAGAAACCAGGAUAAAGCUCCCAAUUGCCCUACGUUUUCCUUAGGAGAAAUACACCCAAAGUAGAAGCCAUACCAAGUCUCAGGCCCAAGCCUCUGGCAAGAAAAAACAAAUGGGCUUAGCACUUCUGAUAGGGUUCACACUUCUGAUAGGGUUCAGCAAUGAUUAAGCCCCUAUGAAAUGGCAAAUAGUGACAUUAUCAUACAAGAGAUCCCUGCAGCCCUGGAGGGUUCCAGAAAAGAGCAUAGCCUUUUAAACUGCAGCUGCCUAUAUAUGGCAGGUACCAUGCUGGCACUGGAAAUGCAAAGACGAAUUAGACAACAUCCCUUGGGGAGCUGUUUUGCAGAGCUGUUCCGGGAAACUCAGAAUGUAACCACCCCCACUCCUGACCGCCCCCCAUCAGGAUUGUCUCGUGUGUUCAGGGUCCCACAGAACCCAAGCCAAGAGUCACCCCCACUCUGUAUCUUUGGCAUUAGAUAGUAAUGAGGGCCAAGAGGAGAGGACAGAAAAGGAGGUCUUCCAUCUGCAAAGCAACUCUUGACAGCAGCAGCCCAGCUGCUCGGGGCCACUGCCCAAAAUGCUAAUGAAGCCAGUCACAAUUAGCAGGCUACUCAGGGGCUGCCCAGACCACAGAGCUGCUGCCACAGUCAGCUGUGCCAGAGCAGCCUGCCGGGUCCCAGGCAGAGCUUUUAUGCUAGCACUUUCUCCUUCCCCUUUCACCUGGCAUUUGGAAUCCACCAACAAUCUUUGUACCCUUCUCUCUGCCUGACCCACAAAACCACCCAAGGACGCUGGUAUGACUCUCACUGAUAAAGUCAAAGACAGAUGGGUAGGGAUAGGGAUGGGAAUUGGGAGAAGGGUCCAGAAAAAAUGAUUUGGACUCUUUUUGCUCCCAUUACCAACCACUCCAUUUUCCCCCCCAACAAACAAGUGCUUCCCCACUUUACUGACAUCUGGAUUCCACUGGCUAGUUCCACUAGCUUGGGAGCAAGUUUGCUCUCCGACCUCUUUAGAGUAUUCAGCAGAUGGUGAUCAACACAGCCCUCUCCAAGGAGAGACGUUUAGCUUUAUGAAAAUUCCUAAAGAAAGCCACUGGGAUAUGUUUUCGUGCCAAGACAUCUGACAACUGGCCUAUUUUUAAAGUUCCAACCAAUAAUCUCUCAAAAGCACUCUACCCACAGACAAAGGGGCAAUGACGAAAAAAGUAAUGAGGCCAGUAUUAUGUUUUUGUUUUUCAAACAAUCCAGAAUUUACCCAUCCAAAUAAAUAAUAUUCUCUUCAAAGCCUACCCCCUUAGAAAGCUCUGUGCUGAUUCCACUGGGGCUGUGUUUUCUCAGAACAUUUUUGGAAAGUCCUAUUGUGGAGCAGCCUUUGUUUCCCAGAGAGUGUCCAGGAUAAAGUUAAUAAGCAUCCAACCAGCAGCCGCUGCUGCGGGCCAGGUACUGUGGUAGGCCCAGGGAAGGGGAAUCCUAUAGGUAAAUACAACAAGGUGUCUCCCUGGCAAGAUGCUCACUAUCCGGGUGGAGAAAGGAGGAGAAGGUUUUUGUGGGUUUUUUUCCUUUGUCGGAAGGUUUUAUUUGUGUGUGUGUGUGUGUGUGUGUGUGUGUGUGUGUGUGUGUGUGCAUGCAUAUGUGUUUGUGUACUUUUAAGUUCAGAGGUACAUGUACAGGUCACAUAGGUAAACUUUUGUCAUGGGGGUUUGUUUUACAGAUUAUUUCAUCACCCAUGUAUUAAGCCUAGUACCCAUUAGUUAUUUCCCCUGAUCCUCUCUCUCCUCCUACCCUCUACCCUUCAAAAGGCCCCAGUAUCUGUUGUUCCCCUCUAUGUGUCCAUGUGUUCUCAUCAUUUAGCUCCCACUUAUAAUAACAUGCAGUAUUUGGUUUUCGGUUCCUGUGUUGGUUUGCUGAGGAGAAUGGCCUCCAGCUCCAACCAUGUUCCUGCAAAGGACAUGAUCUCAUUCCUUUCUAUGGCUGCGUAGUGUUCAAUGGUGUAUAUGUACCACAUUUUCUUUAUCCAGUCUACCACUGAUGGGCAUUUGGGUUGAUUCCAUGUCUUUGCCAUUAUGGAACAGUGCUGCAAUGAACAUAAACAUGCAUGUGUCUUUAUAAUAAAAUGAUUUAUAUUCUUUUGGGUAUAUACCCAGUAGUGAGAUUGCUGGAUUGAAUGGUAUUUCUGUCUUUAGGUCUUUGAGGAAUCGCCACAGUCUUCCAUAGUGGUUGAACUAAUUUACACUCACACCAACAGUGUAUAAGCGUUUCUUUAAGGAAGAGAAGGUGUUUUGAAUACAUACCAUCAGCCAGGCACCGGGCAACAGCUUUUGACAUGUUACAUUUAAUAUGGAUCCCAAAAUCCUCUUAGAUGUAGACAACCAGGCUCAGAAAAGUUAAAGUGACCUAGCCAAAGUCACACAACAAAGAAAUUCUGAGACUGGUCCUGAUCUGGGGCUGUCAGGCUCCCAAACUGGUCCUCUCAUCCCCACAGCAGCCUGCAGUAAACACACUCUCCAGGACAGGAGGCUGAGGCAGGAUAACUCACUCCUCCUACGUCAAGCACUCACCUCCUGUUUACCCUUUCAUCAAGAGGCUCUGACAAGCCAGUGGGCAGGGAGAGUUUCUUCAGAUAUAAAACAGGACUUUUCAUAACCCUAGUAUUUACGUCAACUGAGAAGGACAGACACUCAGACACAGUCGCACACACUUCACUCACACACAGGACCGUCAAUUCAACGUGUCCACCUACCUCACAAGCAGGCAGGGAAAUCAGGCCUGCAUCUCAACACGUCAAAACUAGUUUCCUGCAAUAGCCAAAAGGUGGAAGCAAGCCAAGUGCCAUCGGCAGAUGACUGGAUAAACAAAAUGUGAUAUAGACACACAAUGGAUUAUCAUUCAGCCUUAAAAGGGAAGGAAAUUCUGACACAUGCUACAACAGGGAUGACCCUUGAGCACAUUAUGCUCCAUGAAAUAAGCCAGACACAAAAGGACAAACGCUGUAUGACUCCACUUAUCCCAAGUACCGAAAAUAGGCAAAUUCACAAAGACAGAAAAGUAGAUUAAUGGUUGUAGGGGCCUAGGAGAGAGGGGAGAGGGAUUAUUUAAUGGGUAGUUUCAGUUUGAGAAAAUGAAAAAGUUCUAGAGAUGGAUGGUGGUGAUGGCUGCGUGACAGUGUGAAUGGAUGUAAUGCCACUAAACUGUGCACUUAAAAUGGUUAAAAUGGUGAAUUUUAUGUUAUGUACACUUUGCCACAUUUAAAAAAAAAAAAACCUCUGUUUUUUCUCUUUGGAAAUAUGGAUGUAUAAUCUCUUCCUCAAACAAACUCUGGGCACAUGCAUAUGACCAGUGUCUUCUAUUCUCUUCCCAGCCUCAGCCCAUGAGGCUUCAGAUGACAGAGGCAGGAGCCGUGCUGGGGUGGGGCCUGGCUGGGGGGACUCUGCAUGCACAGUAAGCAAGCAUUCUAAAAUCGGCCCCAGAAAAUCCCCCAAAUGCAGCACAGAACGCCUUAGACUGGCCUGAGUCAACAGCAGGAAGGGGAGGGCCCACAAUGAGCAGCCGCAUCCCCUCCCCUGAAAUUUGCAAAACAGUAUUUUGGCUGGUGCAUUUGGCCCAAUAUAGAGCAGAGCAAAACAUUUUUAUGGAGGAACAAUGAAAAGAGACUGCUAGUCCUAAGACUGAGGUCUUUAGGAAAACUUCAUUCUCUGACCCAUUUCAACUUUCCCUAAUAAAUAACAAUGCUGUAAUGCCAAGCAGUCUAUCAUGCCACCUUAGCAGCUGUGCUCUGCUCCCAAAUGUUCUGUUUAUGUCUCCCCAUCAUGUCAUUGUGAUGGAUUCAAUUUUAAACUACCCCAAGCUAAUAGCAAAUCCCCCAGAGCUCUGGAAGCAGCUCUGUGUUGCGUGGGCCCUGAUCAUGAAGGUGGAUUCAGUGGUCACCCAGGGCCCACCUGGAGUCUGUAGCACUCUUUUUCCUCUGGGCUCCCAGGUACCUGCUGAACCCCAAAUGGGUGCCUACAAAGGUCCAGUGAGGAAAAGUUAAGAGCCCCAGAAAAAACAAAGAUAAAACGCCUGGGAGGGAAUCAGUAUUUAUCAAGGGCCUACUACAUGCAAGAGCCUUCAAAACCCUGUAACUUUCAAGUUUUAUACAUGAGGAAAUGGAAGAAAUUCAGCAAUAUGUCCAAGGAGCAGAGCUAGGAUUCAACUCUAAGUCAUCUGACUCUAAAGCUUACACUCUUUCCAUUACACUAGGCUGCCUCUCAAAAUCAUGUGGGUUUUUUUUUUCCCCUGGUUCUUGUUUUUUAUAAUCCUGCUUGCCUGGCUUCUAAACUUCUCCAGCUUUUCCAUAGGCCCUAGCCCAACCCAACUUUCCAUUUGGGUAAAAGGAAGAUCAUCCCAGCUGCUGUGUCCCAAGUCACAUGAAAUGGCGGGAAGACAUUUCAUAAACACAAGUUCAAAAGCCCCUUUAAAUAGAUAGGAAAGUGGAAAUUAUUUUUAAGGGGGUAAACUUCUAAAGAAAGCAUUCCCAUUCUGCAGCCCUGGACUUCUUAACAUAAACCACCAGGUCCAAUUCUCACCCUACACUGCCACAGAACAGCUGACGCUAAACUUGGGCUCCAAAGCCUCUGUCUUCCUCCAGAGAGCCUGGCAGUCUGUGUAAUAAGUGUGCUGGCUAUUUCUGAGCCGGCCACUAAAAGGGAAAGCCACCCCCAAAUCACCACUCAGCUUAGUCCCAAGAAUGAGAGCUGAAGGUAGCAUGUCACGCAGGGGAUUUAUUCUUCAAAUGUAGAAUUGUUAGUGCUCAAAAUAUAAAUACUCAGGUUUGAAGAACAUACCAACUUCUUUAAAAAAAGAAAAGGGUAAAAAACUCCCCCAUGCAACUGUGAAUAUACUCUCAUUUCUCCUCCUCCUCCUUUCCUGACAAGAGCCAACAAUCAGCAGACAACAAAAUCUCAACAUCUGGCUCCUAAGUCCACAGCUUUCAGCUUUUUCCUGGGCCUGGGAACUUUUGCCUCAAACAAAUCCCUGAUGAGCUGCUUCAAGUGUGAUGGUAAUAAGGUUCGGCUGCUCAGGGAGCAAGGCAGGCAUGUGAGCCGUGGCUUGGGUGCUCUGUCCUCCAGGGUGGUCCAGAAGCCCUUGAAGGUAGCACAUUACAAGAGCCACUUCUGGUCAACUUCGGUGAGCAGACAGCACCCAGCUCUGCUUUCUCAGGAGCAGGACUGCAGUUUCUGUUGGGAAUAGUGACAGCCAAAAACUCAGAAGCAGAACACACAAGACACUGAGCUGAGAUCUCUUCGGGCUUCUGGAAGCAGUCAGACCCUCCACCAUGCCCUUCCUUUCCCUAGCUGGUCUAAACUGCUGUCGAGCGAUGAUGGGCAGCUCUUUGCACACAGAUAUUAGGAAAACCCCUGCCUAAGAGUCACUGCUUUAGAAUUUAAUUUCUAGACUUUAGAACCACUUCCUACUGGGUCCGUAGAGAUCACUGCCUGUCCCCCUACUGACAUGUUUUAUUGUAAGCAAUCUAAUUUAUGGUGUGCUCAGUAUAUUCUUCAUAUACCCAGACACAUACAACUGAAAACAAAAGUUUCACACAACAGUACUUACCAUUGCUUUGUGCAAUGAAUGCUGUUAUUUUCUAUUCUACUCUAUCAUAUUCUAUUUUAUUAAAAUCUAUUGGUUGUAACCAUCUAAAUUGAUCCCCAUUUGAAGAUCACAAUCUGUAGUUUUAAAACUGCUGUGGUCAUAGGAGCCAGUCCCACGUUUUUGAAUUAAAGGCCUGUGCUGACACCAUGGGUCAGAGGGAAGGUGAUUUGUACCUUAUUCCCCUUUCCUGGAUAACUCAAGUUUACUCAAAAAGCUCCACAUCAACACUUUUAAAAGAGAAUUCAAAUGAUCCAUGCGGCCCUACCCACAAUGGGUUCUCACAGCACACCUUGUCUUCAAGGAUAGCUCUGAAAGAACUCAACUCUGCAUUCACAGAACCAUUGCUAAUAACCUUUAAGAGGUGUCAGAGGACUAAAGAUGGGUAACUAUUUGCCUAACAUUUUGCCAAAUUGGAUUCUGGAAGCUUCAGACUGGCAAACAUAGGGCUGGAUUACCUAACAAGUGAUUUGUGAGCAUUUACAGGGAAAGAUAGAAAUCACUAAAAAUAUACAUGUGUUCAUUAAGAAAAAGUUUCAACAAACCAAUCUCAUUUCUUCUUUUGAUGCAGGAUACAAAAUCAGGAAGAAUGCCAUAAAGAAUGUGUUCAGAUUUCACCAAGGUGCAUGAAAAGACAGAAAAAGAAAAAUCUGUGUCAAAGUAUGGUUGAACAGUUUUGAAGCUGUUAGAACAACUAUACCCCUAGAGGCUACUGAUAACAGACCCUUAAGAACAUUGGAAAUUGCUUUUAUUAGGACCCUAGAAGGUUCUUUUCUGAGACUGAUCCUAGUCAACCUUUCUAUCUAUGACUUCUUUAAUUAGUGACAGCAACAUUACCAAUUGGUAUGGCGUGUCCUCAAUAACAACUGAUCAACUGAUGAACUGGGUACCCACAGAGCACUUUGCAGUUUUAUCAGGUACUUUUACACAUCUUAUCUCAUUUGAGCCUCCAAGUCAAGGAGCUAGGUAUUAUUAUAUUCAUUUCAUAGUAAAGAAACUCAGGCUUAGCCAUCAGUGUUUCUCAACCUCAGCAAUAUGAACAUUUUGAACUGGGUAAUUCUCUGCUGUCCUGUGCACUGGAGGAUGUCGGCAGCAUCCUGGCCUCUACCCACUAUGUGCCAGGAGCAGUACCACCCUUACAGUUGUGACAACCAAAAAUGUCUCCAGACAUUGUCAAACAUCCCCUAAUGGCCAAAAUCACUCCUGUUGAAAACCACUGGGUAAAUCAAACUUUGAUCUGGCUUGAUCAAGGUCCACAGUUAAAAAGUUAACCAGGGCAGUAUUUGAAUUUAGGUCUCCUCAUUCUUCCAACUCUUUCAAAAAGCUGGAAGGUAUUGGGCACCGUGGCUCACGCCUGUAAUCCCAGCACUCUGGGAAGCCAAGGUGGGUGGAUCACCUGGGGUCAGGAGUUUGAGACCAGCCUGGGCAACAUGGUGAAACCCCAUCUCCACCAAAAAUACAAAAAUUAGCCGGGUGUGGUGAUGCACGCCUGUAGUCUCAGCUACUCAGAAGGCUGAGGCAAGAGAAUUGCUUGAACCCGGGAGGCGGAGGUUGUAGUGAGCUGAGAUUGUGCCACUGCACUCCAGCCUGGGAGACAGAGGGAGACUCUGUCUCAAUAAAUAAGUAAAUAAAUAAAUAAAUAAAUGAAAGCUGGGAGGGAUAAUGAACAGGAUAAAUUACAAAAAUCAAGAGUCAAAAUUAUCUUGAUUGACAUUCUAGGCCAAAACCAAUAAUAAAAGACUGAAGGUCCAUAUUUUGGUUUUAAAUAAAUCAAUUGUGCAAAGUGAGACUGGCACUCAUGGCAUUUUAUGGCAGUUAAUGUAUGGAAGGUUGGCAAAGGGGGUUGGUUAACCUUCAGCCCAGAGACUGGCAGUCCUGCAUGACUCCACAGAUGCCAACAUAAUCUUGGCUGCACUGACAGGGCAAGCAGUCCAGGCAUCUCUCACACUCCCACCCAGGCCAGCUGCCCGAGCAUUGAACCCCGCCAUCCUCUCUCUCUUCUCACACCUGCCGCAGACCUGACACUACCUGUGGGGCCUCCCCCUCCCCUACAGAACGUGGCUCUGCUCCAUCCUCACUCUGUCCUCUGGCAGCCGCAGCAAGAGUCGGUGUGCAGCAGAAUUGGAAGACAGAUGGCAAGAGGGAAGAGAAGAAGGACAGGAGGGAGAGGACACGGGGGAGAAGACAAGAAGGGAAGUGGAGAAAUUAUGGCAGGGCCCACAAUGUCACUGUGAGCCCCCCAAACCCAGGGGGCAAGACAGUAAGAUGAGGGAAGAGAGGGAAGCGGGGAGGAGGGGGAGGAAACGGAUGCAAGGCCAGCAAAGGGAAGAGGAUAAGAAAAAGGCAGAGCAGAGGGAAAAGACUAAUUACUCCCAGCCCUCCAAUAUUCACUUACAUGCUAUGCUGCUUCUUCUUCCAUUCAGUUCCUUCCUGCUACUUGCCCGGGGCACCCAGCUUGGCCCAUUACCCACCCAUUAAUGCCCCUACCUGGGAAUCUCUGGAAUUCACUAUGCUGGAUUAAAACCCUGGCUCUACUAGUCACUAGCUGGGUGAAUUUAGACCAAUUACUUAAUCUCACUAAGCCUUAGUUUCCACAUCUGUGAAAUGGGGAUAAUAAUAUCUAUCUCAUAGUUUUGGUAUGGGAUUAAGUGAGACUUAAUUUGAAAUAUAUACACACAUAUAUAUACACAUAUAUAGAUCUACGUGUGUGUGUGUGUGUGUGUGUAUAUGUAUCUCUCUCUCAACACAGAUGCUUGGCCCAUAAAAGGUGCUCCCUGGUAGCUAGUUUUAGUUAUAAUGUACAUCCCUGGCACGUAGAUAGCAACUUAUUUUACUAUCUUGGACACCGGCUUCCACUUCCGACAAGGCCAAAACUUAGAGACGAAAUGGCACAUGCCCGGCCCCUGUAUUUUCUACUGUUUUCUGAGAACAUAAUUUCUAGUUGGAGUAUUAAUUACUAGCUUGGAGCAUUACUAGCUGCUGCUAUUUCUCAGGGUCCCCUUGGAGACCAAGCAACCGCUAAGAUGGCUGGCUUUCUCCAUAGAACUCACAGCUAGCACCAGCAAUGAGGAAAUACGCACACGCGCACACACACACACGCAGUCUUUACAUCUGGUUAGGGCUCCAAGUAUUUCCUAAGUGUCUCAUCACACUUACUAAGGCCUGAGAAUCUCAGAGCUGAGACACUGCAGAGGUGAUGUAGCCCAAGCCAUCCCCUGAGGCCUGAGUGUCCUCUGCAGCACCCGACUAGGGGCCGGGGGGUUAGCACAACCUGUCCCCAUUCCCAGGAAAAAACCCAGCACACAGCUCACACUCAAUGAUGUCAGCUUCCUACAGGAAGGACAGGUACAGCAUCACUAAUUAAAAAGAGGUCACAACCACGAAGUUCAUUCAUCCAGGCCUCUUGGGAACAAAUCAUAUCAACAACCACCAAACAAAUGGAUUCAUGUUAAUUUGGAGGUAUUCUUAUCUGAGAGCAAUAGAAUAUAGUUCACCAAAGCAGAAACCUGGGCAAGCGUCAACUAAAUGUUGGUGGGUCCAGGAAGAAAUCCACUGAUUCAGGCUAGGUGCCUGUCACAACUUGGUUAGCCUUUCUGAACCUGUUUCCUUGUCUGAAAGAUGAAAGUAGCAAUAGUUGCUGUGAGGCGUGAUUAAGGCAUGAUGCAUUCAGAGGCAUAGUACAGUGUCUGGCAAAGAUUCAAGAAACUUUAGACUCUUUCCCCUUUCUGCACCAAUAAGCAAAUCUGAAAAGAUCAUGAAUACACAGUGCUGCAAAAUGAGAAACAGAAUUUCCCCCUUUAGACAAGAGAGCACUGUGAUGCAGACACAGCCCUGGCAUCAGCAAGGAAGGCCCUGGUUCCCCUUCUCAUCAUCCCUGGAGAGAUGGGUGUCAGAGGUCAGGUGAGGGAAUCUCUUUGUGCGUGAUUCUCCAACUCUGCAAACAAUAGCUGGCCAUUUCUUCUGAGGAAUAAGCUGAAAUCAAACAUACCUGAUAGGCGAACUGGGCUUGAUGCAGUCCCAAGCACUCUGCUGAGCACUGAAGCCACUUUUCCUCACCACAACUAUGGGAGCUAGAGAAGGGAGGCGAUUAGUGGUGAAGACAGUGGGGACCUGCCCCAGGUGGCAUUAGUGAAAUAGACAAUUCUCUAGGGUCCUCUGCACCAACCCAGAACUCUCCACAUAAGAGCUGCCCUAGGAACACCACAGUUCUGUGGCCUGCCCUGGCAGAUGUGCCCUCACAUCUGGGUGAUAAGGGGUCCCCAAGAGGAGCCAAACCCCCUGGGGGCAGCCCGGUCACAGCCACAACUGGCUGCCCACAGGCUGGGAGCCACUCAACUCAGAGGCAGAGUCCUAUGCACUGCACUCUCCAGACAGAUGGAAGGACACUCCCCCCGGGGCAGAACAGCACUGUAGACUGAAGGACAGCUUUGAAUCUGUCUGCCCAACCGGUUCAAAUCUUGUUUUCUGUCCCCUAAAUGUCACCAGUGUAACUGUCAAGGGGCCAAGGGGAAUCACCCAAAUUGGACAGCACCUUCAGGGCAGAAGCUCUGUUUGAUUUAUCUUUUGUUUCCACAGCACCUAGCCUACUGCCUGGCACAGAGUGGAUAUUCAGGAAAUUUCUGUUCAUGUGAAAGAUGAGAAAGGUCACAGACUCCUUAAGAUCCCUAAAGCAGCUACGACAGCUCAUUUCUGGACUGAGCAGAGCUGACCUUAGAGGCCAGAAGGGCAGGGCUAGGGAUGCUGACUGCUAGGGGGAUGAGAAACCUCUCUUAAAUCAGAGUAUGGAGGCACUGGGCCAAUUAGAGGAGGACCAACCUUUCAGAAUCGUAAGACUGGAAAGUGUGUGCCUUCACGUUUCAUUUUGCCUCUCCCCAGACUAAACCAACUAAACCAUCUCUGGAAAAGACAGAGGCCAAGGUGACAGGAAUUGUUCAUUUAUAUAUGAAUGAGGCGUUGCUAAGUCAUCAGAGGCUGGAGAAAAAUGGAAGACUCUUUUUCCCAGGUUGCCAACCUCAAAGUUAGGUAACUAUUGGCAGAGGUCAGACUAGGAAGAGGACAGGCAUGAUCUGCAGGAGGUUAUGGAAAGCAGCAUCCCAGAUGGGGCAGCCCUCCCUGCUCCAGGCCACUGGGCUAGAGCUCAGCUCUGGACUGGCUUCUCAUCCUGUCCUGCUGACUGCAUAGUCACAGAUCUGCUGAUAGUCUCCAGACAAGACUAGCUCUGCUACCCUGGUCAUAUCUCAGGCUGGUACCCUCUCCAACCUGUUGCACCUAUUUGCUUAAAAUUAAGAGGGCUGAGCUGGGCAGUGCAAGAAAGAACUAGAAAGCCAGUCUCACCUGGAAACUCUACCAACUGCUAUGAAGGACACAGGGAAGAGGUGGCAGGCAGGAACAAUGCCUUAAGUUUUCCCCAGGUUCCUUGAACUCUCCAUGGCCCUCUGGCCUCCCCUCACCCCCACUACCUCUCAUAAGGAAGCAGCCCUGGCUUUCUAGUAUGCUGAUAAUAAGGUCCUAUCAGGCCAACUGAGAAAAGUCUCAUCUAGAAGGAAAGUACUCAGUGCGCUAUCUGUUCUGUAGGAAGGCUGAAGGCAAUGCCUCCUGGUCACAUCAGCAAUGCUAUAGAGAAAGGAAAGGUGCAAGAGCAGGACAGAGACUGCUCUGGCUGUGUACCUGGAGGAUGAUCUCUGAGGAUCUCUGCACCGCCAAGCACCCUCCGGGCUGCUGACGACACGGUCAGAUUCCCCAGUGCGUGAGCCUAUACUACAGCAGUGUAGACUACAGCAGUUAAGAGCCCAACAGUGCGGCCAGGCAGGUCUGGGCUCUGAAGAACUGUGUUCACAUACUAGAAUUUUCUUGGACAACUGAGAAGUCAUUUAACACCUCUGGAGUCUCAGUUUCCUCAUCUGCAAAAUAGAUAUAUUAAUAGCACUUACCUCACAGGGUCAUUAGGAGGACUAAAUAAGCCAAAAUAUUCAAACCACUUAGAACAAUGCCUGGAGCAUAUUAAGCAUUCAAUGAACGUUAGUCAGUAUCAUCUUUACUGUCAGCUUUUUGAGAAUAGCCCUUUCUGGGAUAUUCUUCAUAGCACCCAGUACAGCAGAGCUUCAUUAAUUAAAAAAGAAAGAAAGAAAGAAAGAAAAAGAAAGAAAGACAGACAAACACUAAGCUAUUCUAUUAGUCAGGGUUCUCUAGAAGGACAGAACCAAUAGGAUAGAUAAAUAUAUAAAGGGGAGUUUAUUAAGUAUUAACUCACAUGAUCACAGGUCCCACAAUAGGCUGUCUGCAAGCUGAGAAGCAAGGAGAGCUGGUCCAAGUCCCAAAACUGAAGAACUUCAGAGUCUGAUGUUCAAGGGCAGGAAGGAUCCAGCAAGGGAGAAAGAUGUAGGCUGGGAGGCUUGGCCAGUCUAGUCUUUUCGCGUUUUUCUGCCUGCUUUAUUUUCUAUCUGCACUCGCAGCUAAUUAGAUGGUGCCCACCCAGAUUAAGGGUGGGUCUGCCUUUCCCAGUGCACUGACUCAAAUGCUAAUCUCCUUUGGUAACACCGUCAUAGACACACCCAGCAUCAAUACUUUGCAACUGGCCAGACACGGUGGCUUAUGCCUGUAAUCCCAGGACUUUGGUAGGCCCAGGCAGGCGGAUCACAAGGUCAGGAGAUCGAGACCAUCCUGGCCAACAUGGUGAAACCCCGUCUCUACUAAAACACAAAAAAUUAGCCAGGCAUGGUGGCAUACGCUUGUAGUCCCACCUACUCGGGAGGCUGAGACAGGGGAAUCACUUGAAUCCGGGAGGCGGAGAUUGCAGUGAGCCCAGAUCACGCCACGGCACUCCAGCCUGGCAACGGAGCAAGACUCCGUCAAAAAAAAAAAAAAAAAAAAAAAAAAAAAAACCCAGAACUUUGCAACCUUAAAUCCAAUCAAGUUGACACUCAGUAUUAACCAUCAUCACAGCUAUUAAUACGAUUUAAUAUAUAUGUGAGGCGCUUUACACACAUUGCUGAGUUCCCACAUAAACCCAAUGCCAAAAGUGUUUUCACAGAAAAUAGCUUGCCUAGAAUGAUAUUAGUGAUUGGCCAGGCUAGGAUUGAAACUCAGGCUCUGACUCCAGAGCCUGCUUCUUCUUCCCAAAGGUUACACUGCCUGCAGAACACCACCUUCUGAGCCCCUCUACCUUUAUCAGAAUGAGAAGGGAGUGGGGGCCCAAACAAAAUUCAAGCAAGAGAGGAAGAGAACACAAAAAGAGAUGCUGGGAAGCUCAGAAGAAAUUCACCACCUUGUCAAGGCCUGUGUCUUUUUCUGGAUCUGGGUUUGUCAUCAUUUGCAGCUUUUGCUUUGACUCUGGAUGUUAGAUUACGUAGAGCACUACAUGGAGCACACGGUGCCUUCAAUGAGAAACCAGCAAGCAGUCAGUCUGAAACUGUUUCUAUAGACGUGGACAAGACUUCUCACAAUGUCCCAGCUACCCAAUGACACUGAUUCUAAUGCUAACACACCUCCAGGCACUUCAAAUGCUUUUGGCACUCUGACCAGAAGCUAGCCACGCAGGGUCUGUGUGAGCCGCAGCAAGGCUGUCUGCUAUAUAAGCUCAGAACUCCUGCUUUUGGAAGAAGUAUCAUUUCAACAGAACAGAAAGUGACACCCCAACAGUAGAAUUCCUACAAAUUCUAACUGUGCUAACAUCUUCCUAACAACAGUCCUACUUAAAAACUUCACUUUGGCCGGGCGCGGUGGCUCACGCCUGUAAUCCCAGCACUUUGGGAGGCCGAGGCAGGCGGAUCACGAGGUCAGGA
This 40234-nucleotide long non-coding RNA is filed under the name Homo sapiens (human). RNAcentral's name for it is "non-protein coding ITPKB-AS1:3". The stretch from base 7973 to 8089 matches the Rfam family "Metazoan signal recognition particle RNA". Lineage: Eukaryota; Metazoa; Chordata; Mammalia; Primates; Hominidae. The record is from RNAcentral.